UGACAUGUCUGGAAUGCCGAAGAGAUUUGGCAGUGCUCGCAAGAGAACCAGAACACAGGUGCUGCAUGGCUGUCGUCAGCUCGUGUCGUGAGAUGUUGGGUUAAGUCCCGCAACGAGCGCAACCCUUGUCAUUAGUUGCUACGCAAGAGCACUCUAAUGAGACUGCCGGUGACAAACCGGAGGAAGGUGGGGAUGACGUCAAGUCCUCAUGGCCCUUAUGGGUAGGGCUUCACACGUCAUACAAUGGUCGGGACAGAGGGUCGCCAACCCGCGAGGGGGAGCCAAUCUCAGAAACCCGAUCGUAGUCCGGAUCGCAGUCUGCAACUCGACUGCGUGAAGUCGGAAUCGCUAGUAAUCGCGGAUCAGAAUGUCGCGGUGAAUACGUUCCCGGGUCUUGUACACACCGCCCGUCACACCAUGGGAGUGGGUUUCACCAGAAGUAGGUAGCCUAACCGCAAGGAGGGCGCUUACCACGGUGGGAUUCAUGACUGGGGUGAAGUCGUAACAAGGUAACCG
This 516-nucleotide ribosomal RNA is filed under the name uncultured bacterium. RNAcentral's name for it is "bacterial SSU rRNA". It matches the Rfam family "Bacterial small subunit ribosomal RNA", at positions 982 to 1502 of the family's 1533-position model. The record is from RNAcentral.